CAGUGUUCCCAGAAGGUAUCUGAAGAGUUCAUGGCCUGGAACAUAUCAACAUCUCUAAAACUGUCCCAGGGGGUCACAGUUCACUCUACCAACGUAGGACUAAGGUCAGGGGCUGCCUGCUAAUAACUCUAGGUGACGUGGGAACAGUGGAUUCCUGGUUGAGCCACGGACAGUGGGGAGCAACUGGAAGCAGUGAGGACCAUCGUUUCCCAGCAUUUCCUAAACCAAGCUGGCAAGCUGGCAAGCACCAUUGUGCAUAGUCAGAGAGCCAAACCGAAUCAGCACUUACACUUGCCAGCUCCUCUAGCCAAACGGGAAAGCUAAACUGAAACCGGACUGGCAAACACAUCGUGUUCUUCAACGAUUCCUCUUGCUGGCUCAGCACAGCUUCAGGUUCCCGGUCAUCAGCCACACCAGGCCCAUCACAAGCUCCCAGGCCUCUCUCCACAAACUCUCGUUGAAUCCCCGCUGAGUUUUUGCUUGCUGACUUCUAGAGAAAGGAAUUGGACUGGCCUGGCUUGACUUAUUCAUCUUAUCAAGCAGACCACACAGGUCCUAAGUUACCGGGCAGCCUGUGGACGGGCUCCCCCUUGAUCAUGUACCUGCAGUUUUCCCUCGUCCGAUCGGGCAGCAGCAUCUGAAGACUGGAGCCCCUCGCUGCUCCUUCCCUUCCCAGCCAAGAGCCCUGUCCUCUCUGAGUCUCAGUCUUCCCGUUGAUUGCUGGGUCUUUUGAAGUCCGUGCUUCCCAGGAUGCUGGGCAGGACUGGGUGGGAUCCAGGCUUUGAAAGCGUUGAGGAGCUUUGCUGGUCUGAGGUCAUAAUGGCAGCUCAGGUGAGUGACCCGAAGGCUCUGAGCUGCGAAGGUGGUGGGAGCGUCCUGAGGACACACAUGGUGCUUCUCCCUUUCGAUGGAGACCCCGCAGACCUGGCGUCCUGCCCGAGGGUCCCACUGUUUCUGUGGGGAAGGGGGAGCUGUGGUUAGGACCAGAAUGUCGUAUCUGCCAGUUUGAAGGUGGCUACGGCUACUUCUGUAGGAAAGACCCUUUGCCUGAGAACAAAUGUUCUCCACAUGUCCUCCGAGUUCUUUCUUUGGGAAAGCUGGCCUGAGCCCGGCCUCUGCUUCCUUCUCACUGAGUGAGGGAGGGGAUACUCUCCAGAAGCUUCUGUGUCAGAGACCAGCCCCCUUCCCACCCCCCAAGGUGGGUCACUUCUCAUGGACCCCUGUGGCUCUUGGCCACUCUGUUAAGCUGGCGACAACUCAGGCCUGGCAGGGCAACGAGAGACUCUUUGAUUCAGGACAGCCUGGCGAGUGGAGGCCAGGAGCAGGCGUUAAGGAUUCCCUGUCCAGGGCCAUGGUCAAUGCAUGCCCAAGCUGACUCCUACGGAGAACAGAAGGGGUGUGGGAGACAGAAGACGCACCUGGACACACACUCUGAAGCAGCCUUUGCAUUCAGGGACAGCAGUUAUGGUCCCUUCCUGCUGGCGAGCUCCAACACCAUCCUCAACCAUGUGGGCAACCGUGGGUCUCCUUGGGCGCCCGGCUCCACGUGAGAAUGCAAGGGGCCCACUGGUGGCUGGGCAACUCCUGCCGAUGCUUCUGAACCAGGAUGACUGGUUUCCAGAGCCUGUGUCCCGCAUGGGCGCUGUGCCCAACCUUACAGCUCACAGGAGAGAGAUGGGAAAGUGCCAGAAUGGGGGUGGCUGUGUCCAGAAGGACUCGGAGGGGCAGAAAGACAGAGUGUGCUGUGAGCAGGACUGUGGCUACCUGCUUCCCUCCCUGCCUUCUUCCUUCCUUCUAGUUUCCCUCCCUUCCCUCCUUUCCUUCCACCCGCAAACGUUCACCAAGAAUCAGUUACAUGCCAUUAGCUGAUGAAGAUGCUUUGGUCCUUCUAAUCUUCUCAAGGCUUUCAAACCAUUCAUUUCAAACAAGAAGACAUGCAAUGACAAUACAGCAGUGAUUCUCAGACAUUAGCCAGCAUCGGACCCACCCGAGGGCUAGCUGAAACACUGCUUGCUGGGCCCCAACCAGGGUUUCUGACUCAGGGAAGUGUACAGGGCCUGAGAAUUUACAUUUCUAAUGCCUUCCCAGGACUGCUGCUGGUCCAGGGACCACGGGGCACAGUAAGCCCAGUGCAGGAGCAACUGUCACACCGGCUAGGAGUGGGGGAGGGAGUCAGAGCAGGCUGGGGACCCCAAGCUGAAUCCCAGGGGCUGGGAAAGAGAGAGGUGAAGGGGACAGGCAGUGCAGCAUGUGUAAAAGCCCUGUGGUGAGAGAUUCAGAUGGAGGACAUGGAAGCCAGCCGGUGUGGCUGAGUAGAGGAUGGGGUGGGUGGAUGGCAAGGGAAGAGGAGAGGCUGCCCGACUCCACAGAGAUCUCUAGGGAAAAACCAAACGGGGGGUGGGACAGCAGGUCAGGUUUAUGUUUGAGGACAGGUGCUCUGGCUGCUGGGUAGAGAACAAGGGAGGCGAGAAAAAUCAUUAGGAAGCCAUGGCAAUGAUCCAGGCAAGACAUGCUGCGGCCAGAGCAGGGCGGUGGCCAUGGGAGGCGGAGAAGAUGGAGCUGACAUAGACCUGGGAGGUGGGGCAGACAGGACGUGAGUGCAGGUGUCGGGUGAGGGGAGAGGGGAUCUGUGUGGAAUGGGACAUCAUGGUGUAUGGGGCCAGAAGCAUCAAACACAACCUCAUGCACACUAGCUGGUCAGCCCAGGUUCCGAGGACAGGGGUUCACCUAGGACAUGCUGGCUGGGCCCCUCACCUGAGGAGGGGAAUUAAUGAUAAGCGUACUAGAGCAUCGUAGGUCAUGUGAAGCCAGGAAUCUGGCCCGUGGUCAGGAAAUGUCGAGAGAAGAAGGUACUGCCUCUUACCGCCUUCUGCUUCCUUCCCUCCAUUUGCAGAUCAGAUCCCUCCCUUCUUUCUCUACCCGGGGGAUCCAGCUGCCCCACUGUCACCUGAAGAUAUUAUGCUGAACUGUAGGUUCAAGGCCCUGCAGGAGAGAAUUUGAUUGGUCUACCUUGGGUGGGGUGGCCAGAUUAGCAAAUAAAAAUAAGGAUGCCUAAAUAUCACAUGGCAGCAUACUAAGGCUAAAAAAUGAUCCGUUGUUCAUCUGCCCUGGAGGCUGUGGGUAUGCGGGAGGCCUAGCCUGAGUGCUGGCAUCUCAGGAGGAGGACGCAGCCCACACCGGUGAGGCCGGGAGCAGGGAGCUCUUAGAAAUCCUGGCCGCAGGCCCCCAGACCCAGGCUCAGGGCAGAACUCAAAAAUCCCCGAGGAGGAAGGGUGCAAAGGAGGGCGUGAGUGCAGGUGGUGGGUGGUGACCAGGCAGGUCACAGGUGCAGGCCAGGUCCAGGUUCAGGUCCAGGGACCCAGACAGGUCCGCUUGCUGGGCUGGGCACAGGCGGCGGCAGGCAUGAGGACGUGCUGUGCUGUCUGUCUGCCUCCCCACAGCUGCUCGGUGUAGGAAGAGCGCUGCUCCUGUGCAUCCUGGAGCAGCGCCCAGCUCUGAGCAGGGCCCGUUUGUGUUUGCUGCCUAAAUAAAUUGGACUCAAGCCCAGUUCCCUGCACUGGGCUGGGACGUCAGGGCCAGAUCUCAUGGCAAAGCCCAGAACGAGGGCCUGAAGCUUCAGACAUCCCUCCUGCCUUAGGACAGCACAGGUCCAGGUCCUGGAGUCCAGGACAGGGUGGAGCUGGGAGUGGGGGUGUCCCCGUCACAGCUCCUUUAGAGGAGGGCUGUGGUGGCCAGGGAGCCAGGGAAGCCUGCAUCCCCCUCUCCCCCCCACCCUCCACCAAGAGGGCCUUGGAGACUUCUCACAUUUACAGAUGGGAGGGCAAGCCACUCGCGAAAGAUCAUAACUAGAACCCUUAGACUUUUGGAGUCUCUGACCAGUGGCUUUCCUGAAAUACUGGGCUACAAAAUGGUAUUUGCACAAACUAGGGAGAUUUCAUCUCAGAAUUCAUUAGCAAGUUGUUUGAGGUGGUGAAACGCUUCU
This is a long non-coding RNA of Manis javanica (Malayan pangolin), 3982 nucleotides long. RefSeq lists it as uncharacterized. Lineage: Eukaryota; Metazoa; Chordata; Mammalia; Pholidota; Manidae. The record is from RefSeq and is a predicted model, not a curated record.